GUGGGGAAUAUUGGACAAUGGGCGAAAGCCUGAUCCAGCCAUGCCGCGUGUGUGAAGAAGGUCUUCGGAUUGUAAAGCACUUUAAGUUGGGAGGAAGGGCAGUAAGUUAAUACCUUGCUGUUUUGACGUUACCGACAGAAUAAGCACCGGCUAACUUCGUGCCAGCAGCCGCGGUAAUACGAAGGGUGCAAGCGUUAAUCGGAAUUACUGGGCGUAAAGCGCGCGUAGGUGGUUUUGUAAGUUGGAGGUGAAAUCCCCGGGCUCAACCUGGGAACUGCCUCCAAAACUGGAUGACUAGAGUACUGUAGAGGGUAGUGGACUUUCCUGUGUAGCGGUGAAAUGCGUAGAUAUAGGAAGGAACACCAGUGGCGAAGGCGACUACCUGGACUGAUACUGACACUGAGGUGCGAAAGCGUGGGGAGCAAACAGGAUUAGAUACCCGAGUAGUCC
This 450-nucleotide ribosomal RNA is filed under the name uncultured bacterium. RNAcentral describes it as "partial 16S ribosomal RNA". It matches the Rfam family "Bacterial small subunit ribosomal RNA", at positions 354 to 796 of the family's 1533-position model. The record is from RNAcentral.